This 497-nucleotide ribosomal RNA is filed under the name uncultured bacterium. Its description in RNAcentral is "partial 16S ribosomal RNA". It matches the Rfam family "Bacterial small subunit ribosomal RNA", at positions 28 to 507 of the family's 1533-position model. The record is from RNAcentral.
GAUGAACGCUGGCGGCGUGCCUAAUACAUGCAAGUCGAGCGAACAGACGAGGAGCUUGCUCCUUUGACGUUAGCGGCGGACGGGUGAGUAACACGUGGGUAACCUACCUAUAAGACUGGGAUAACUUCGGGAAACCGGAGCUAAUACCGGAUAAUAUUUCGAACCGCAUGGUUCGAUAGUGAAAGAUGGCUUUGCUAUCACUUAUAGAUGGACCUGCGCCGUAUUAGCUAGUUGGUAAGGUAACGGCUUACCAAGGCAACGAUACGUAGCCGACCUGAGAGGGUGAUAGGCCACAUUGGAACUGAGACACGGUCCAGACUCCUACGGGAGGCAGCAGUAGGGAAUCUUCCGCAAUGGGCGAAAGCCUGACGGAGCAACGCCGCGUGAGUGAUGAAGGUCUUCGGAUCGUAAAACUCUGUUAUUAGGGAAGAACAAACGUGUAAGUAACUGUGCACGUCUUGACGGUACCUAAUCAGAAAGCCACGGCUAACUACGUG